Molecule: non-coding RNA, 950 nt
Organism: Peromyscus maniculatus bairdii (prairie deer mouse)
Lineage: Eukaryota; Metazoa; Chordata; Mammalia; Rodentia; Cricetidae
Source: RefSeq, a predicted model, not a curated record
GGAACACUGGCUUCUCAGCCUUCCAUCUGGAACACCCUGUGUAGGGGAAGUCCACAAGCAGCUCAGGCACGCAGCCAUCACAGUGCUAUGCAGCCAGCGUUAGACUCAGCAGAAGCUAGCCCUCUAUGAGUGAGAGAGAGAGAGUGGAAAAUAGAGACGCCUUCAUGUCCACACGAAUGAGUGAUUCACUCACCUCCUCACCCAGAUUCCAGCACCCAGAUGCGACAGCCGUGUUCUCAGAUUUUCAGAUCCUGUGUGUGAAACAGGGAAUAAAUGAACUCGCUUUCUCACAGGCCUUCACAACAGUGAGAAGCAUGACAUCACAGGGGUUUUUAAUCAGAGAGAGAGAAGUUGAGUGGGUAGGGAGAAGUUGAAGGAAGAAAAGCAUGAUUGGAAUAUAUUGUCUGAAUUUUUUUUUCAAUGAAAGUAAAGGAAAAAAAAAAAAAAGAAUCCAUCUCACCCCAGUGGGCACGACUGUCAUCAAGAACGUGGACAAGGAUGGCACAGGAGGGAGAAGCCUUCACUGUCGGUGAGGAUGCAAAUUAAUGCAGCCACUGUGGAAAUAACCAUGAAAUUCUCUAAAAAGAAACCGCCGUGGGAUCCAGCUGUCUGCCUCCAGAGUAUACAUCCACAGGGGUCUCCAGAGUAUACAUCCACACCGCCAUUCCAGGGACACCCGCCCGUCCAUGUACCAUGUAACACUGUCCACAAUAGCUGAGACAUAGAACCAGUCCCGGUGCCCGUCCGUGGAUGCAUGGACAAAUAAAACCCAGCACAGACGUACAACCGGGUAUCCUUCAUCCCGGAAGAAGAGCAAAGCCAGGCAGUGUGAUGGAAAGUGAGGGGACUGCAGAGCACGCUAAGUGAAGUGAGCCAGACUCAGAAGGACCAAUGUUGCCUGUGUUCACUCAAGAGCAGAAUCUAGAUAAAAAGAAGACACGAGAGUAGAA